GACCGCUCUGAUGGCCUGAGUGGUUGGAGUGUCAGCCUCGGAUGCGGAAAGUCGUGGGGUCGAACCCCACUCGAGUCA
Molecule: non-coding RNA, 78 nt
Organism: Potamilus streckersoni
Lineage: Eukaryota; Metazoa; Mollusca; Bivalvia; Unionida; Unionidae
Source: the annotation of a GenBank genome assembly